GAUGAACGCUGGCGGCGUGCCUAAUACAUGCAAGUCGAGCGAACAGACGAGGAGCUUGCUCCUCUGACGUUAGCGGCGGACGGGUGAGUAACACGUGGAUAACCUACCUAUAAGACUGGGAUAACUUCGGGAAACCGGAGCUAAUACCGGAUAAUAUAUCGAACCGCAUGGUGCAAUAGUGAAAGACGGUUUUGCUGUCACUUAUAGAUGGAUCCGCGCCGCAUUAGCUAGUUGGUAAGGUAACGGCUUACCAAGGCAACGAUGCGUAGCCGACCUGAGAGGGUGAUCGGCCACACUGGAACUGAGACACGGUCCAGACUCCUACGGGAGGCAGCAGUAGGGAAUCUUCCGCAAUGGGCGAAAGCCUGACGGAGCAACGCCGCGUGAGUGAUGAAGGUCUUCGGAUCGUAAAACUCUGUUAUUAGGGAAGAACAAAUGUGUAAGUAACUAUGCACGUCUUGACGGUACCUAAUCAGAAAGCCACGGCUAACUACGUG
This 497-nucleotide ribosomal RNA is filed under the name uncultured bacterium. RNAcentral describes it as "partial 16S ribosomal RNA". It matches the Rfam family "Bacterial small subunit ribosomal RNA", at positions 28 to 507 of the family's 1533-position model. The record is from RNAcentral.